GGUGAAGUCAAGAAGCUCGGUUGGGUUGUCUCAUGAUGACUCACAGCAGGACAAUGACGAGAGCCGCCCUGUUAGCUCCGUGUUGGAUUUAAAACAGUGCUGUUCAACUCUUGGACUCAAGCCAUCUUGCCAGGUUAGACACAGAUGUCACUAUCACGUCUGGCUCAGUGUUCAUUCUCAAUCUGGUUCACAAUCGUACACGAAGCAGAGCUAAGCAUCUAACUUCUAGAGUAAAGCGGAAGGGCCGGCACUUCAUUCCUAUGUCGCCUACAGCCUGACUCAAGUGUAAUUCAGUAACUAUUAAUUGACUAUGUUAACACACAGUUUAAGAAAGCCACAGAUUGUUGAGGAUUUUGAAUGAGUUGAUCUUAGAUGAAGCUGAAGACUUCAGGUACCCCCUCAGGCUAUUUGGCCAACGGUAGCUCGAGCAGCAUUGUUUGGCUGCUCUGCACGGUCCCUGGGCAUAGCACUGACAUUUUCAGGGGUAUGGGGGAAUUAAGAUCCUCAGAAUCAGACCGGUCCUACUGAAUCAGAACUGCUGUCUGCAAGAUCUUGGAAAAUCCUUUACCAAUUAAAGUUUACGAUUCCCUGCCAACGCUUUCCAUCCAAGGAUCUCGAGCCAGCUUGGCACAUAAGAGGACAUCACCAGAAGGGCCCUAACAGUAGCUGUCUUCAAGCCUCAGGAAGAGGAAUCUCAGCUCACUUCACCACGUUUAACUUCUAGACCUGCAGUUCCUAGAGUGUGGUCCCUGAGCUGGAAGCCUGGGAAGAAAAGGUUACUUCUGACAUCCUGAACCCCAAACUCCAAGCCCAACCACCUCCCUUGGAAACCUGCUUGGCACCCUCCCUAUCAAACAAUGUGCCUAUCUCUCAGAAGAUCUUGGAAAUUCUGAAGUACAGACUGUAGUUCAGAAACCUCUGGGAGUGACACACAGGCUCAAUAUACCUCAAAGUUCUAGGUAUGUCCAACCUUUGGAUUUUGUGAUUGGAUAUCAUCAACGACAGAGUUCGCACUCAAGUUCCAAAUUCAUCUCCUAAUUCUUGUAAAAUUUGAAAAUAAGUUCACGAUUUUGUGAUGGGCCAUAUUCAUAACUAUUCUGGGCACAGCCAUCACUGGUGAAAUAGGAUCUCUCUUCAGUCCAUUCUAUCGGCAGUCAUGGGUAGAAGCUAGUGAUCUAUUCCAUGGCCAAACCUACAUGACAGCUAAGUAAUAGUUUUACACACACACACACACACACACGAGUCACUGUGCUGCAGGCG
Long non-coding RNA from Rattus norvegicus (Norway rat), 1260 nucleotides. The record is from Ensembl. NCBI's taxonomy places the organism in Eukaryota, Metazoa, Chordata, Mammalia, Rodentia, Muridae.